Non-coding RNA from Odocoileus virginianus texanus, 1017 nucleotides. NCBI's taxonomy places the organism in Eukaryota, Metazoa, Chordata, Mammalia, Artiodactyla, Cervidae. The record is from RefSeq and is a predicted model, not a curated record.
UAGCUGCCAUGACUUCUUCUUUAGAAGGUUUCUCAUUAAAAACAUCUCGGUCAGAAUCUGCACUUUUUGUAUCUUCUGGUUCUCGUUUAGUAAACUCAAGGAGGAAAAUAAAAAGUAAGUAAAUGAGUUAAAUUUUUCAUCUGGUUAAAAUUUAUGAACAAGAAAAUUGCAUUUAUAAUGAAGUAUUUGAGGAAACUAAGAAUUUACAUUUAUAGAAUAAAUGCUUAUUUCAGGAACUGCUUCCAAUCAUAGGAUGUGCAAGACAACUAAAUUUCUACAUUUGCCUAAUGAGAAAAUUCAUAUGAUGAAGAUGAAUGAUUUCAAAUGGAAUUUAAUAUCUUUUUUGGUGAAAAUUUUUUGGGGUACCCAUUUAAAAAAUAGGCAGUUUUUAGGUAGCUCUCUGCUUCUGCCUUCUAGUAUGUCCUACGUAACCUGCCAUCUAUUGCUUGCUUUUCACAAUUUAGAUUGCCUGGGUUUGAAUUGUAGUUUGCCACUUAGCUAAUUACAUGACUUUGGGGAAGUAAAUUCAUUACUUUCAUCUUCUUACUCAUAAAAGAGGAUGAUAAUAAUAAAUACCUCAAAAUGACACCUGAUAUGAAGAUUAAAUGAAGGAUAUAAAGUGUUUAGAGAAUAGUGCCUAACACAGAAGGCAAUAUAUACAUCUUAGUAAUUGUUAUUACUAUGAACAGGACCUGGUGCUGGUAGGAUGAGGAUUCAAAGAUGAAUCAGUAGUGGACCUUGACCUUCUCUUUUUUUUGGACAGAGUCCCAUCUGAUCUAUCUAAACCUUGAAGCUUGGAAGAAAGGACGUACAGUACAUUUUGAAUGAAGCAGAAAUCUCAGGAUCCUCAAGUCUACAGAGAAUUGAGAAAAAACUUUCAGUUGUUAAAAUUCUGGACUUCUAAAGGCCUACUCUUUGACUCUCAAAUUUCUAAGGAACAUGUGUGGUUUAAUCAACAAACUGGGGAAAGACAAUUUUUAAAUAAAGUGGAUGAAAAUUAAAUUUAGUGUAUAUUAA